RNAcentral lists this ribosomal RNA (253 nucleotides) under uncultured bacterium. RNAcentral's name for it is "partial 16S ribosomal RNA". It matches the Rfam family "Bacterial small subunit ribosomal RNA", at positions 524 to 776 of the family's 1533-position model. The record is from RNAcentral.
UACGUAGGUGGCAAGCGUUGUCCGGAUUUACUGGGUGUAAAGGGCGUGUAGCCGGGCUGACAAGUCAGAUGUGAAAUUCCGGGGCUCAACCCCGGACCUGCAUUUGAAACUGUUGGUCUUGAGUAUCGGAGAGGCAGGCGGAAUUCCUAGUGUAGCGGUGAAAUGCGUAGAUAUUAGGAGGAACACCAGUGGCGAAGGCGGCCUGCUGGACGACAACUGACGGUGAGGCGCGAAAGCGUGGGGAGCAAGCAGG